RNAcentral lists this long non-coding RNA (842 nucleotides) under Mytilus galloprovincialis (Mediterranean mussel). The record is from RNAcentral. Lineage: Eukaryota; Metazoa; Mollusca; Bivalvia; Mytilida; Mytilidae.
AAAAAAUAUAAGUUUUUUUCAUUGCUUACAAGGUUGGGAAUUUUAUUUAUAGUUUUAUUUGUAUUUUAUAUCAAAGUAUUCAUUUACACUUUAUUAAAAUAUUAUUAAUAUAUAGCAUUAUAAGGCAAUUAUUUAUGUAAAAAGUACAAUGUAAUUAUAAUUUAUACUGUUGAUAAACCACUUUCAUGUCCAAAGGUGAAAGGUGUUAAAUUUAACUAAAUAGCUUUGUCUCAAUGAAUGGUUAGAACAUUUGGAAAAAAAAACCAAUGUCAUGGGAAAUUUUCAAAUCAGAACUUUUUUGGGAAAGCAAAACAUUUCAAGCUAUCAGACAACAGAUUUUGUUUCUAAUUAAAGUUCUAACAAAAAUGACAAAGCUGUUAUGGUUACUAGAUAGUUAUUCAGUAGAUUAAGUAACCAUACAUUUAAGGUAAUUGUUGGGGAUUUAAAAGUGCAACAUUUUUGCAUAUAUAGAUUAUAGAUAAUUUAAGGAUUUUUUAUCUAUAUUUCAGUAUGUAGUGUACACUUAAAUUGUGCAAUGUCAAAUUCAAAAGUUCAUUCAGUUUAAAGAUUGUAUAAAAUAUACACUUUAGCAGAUUAGUUUUGUACUAUCCUUGAAUCAACAAAAAGUUUUUUUUUAUAAGAGUGAGGGAAUUCAGCUGAUAUUUUAACGAGUGAUUUCCCUUUAAUGAGGAUUUGUUUUACCCUUUUUUGUGUUUGUAACAAAACUGAAGAAAAGAAGUUUUGGUGUAGUCAUGUUUGUGGACUAGUAUACCACUUUUGGUGUAUUUUGUUAUUGUUUUUUGUUUAGAAAGAAACAAUUGUAUUAAAGUGUUAUUGCUGUA